RNAcentral lists this ribosomal RNA (445 nucleotides) under uncultured bacterium. RNAcentral describes it as "partial 16S ribosomal RNA". It matches the Rfam family "Bacterial small subunit ribosomal RNA", at positions 354 to 796 of the family's 1533-position model. The record is from RNAcentral.
GUGAGGAAUAUUGCGCAAUGGAGGCAACUCUGACGCAGCCAUGCCGCGUGCAGGAAGAAGGCGCUACGCGUUGUAAACUGCUUUUAACCGGGAAGAAACCCCAGGACGUGUCCUGGGUUGACGGUACCGGAGGAAUAAGCACCGGCUAACUUCGUGCCAGCAGCCGCGGUAAUACGAAGGGUGCAAGCGUUAUCCGGAUUCAUUGGGUUUAAAGGGUGCGUAGGCGGAGCGUUAAGUCAGUGGUGAAAUCCUGCAGCUUAACUGUAGACUUGCCAUUGAUACUGGCGCUCUUGAGUGCGCUUGAAGUGGGCGGAAUGUGCCGUGUAGCGGUGAAAUGCUUAGAUAUGGCACAGAACACCAAUUGCGAAGGCAGCUCACUAAGGCGAUACUGACGCUGAGGCACGAAAGAGUGGGGAUCGAACAGGAUUAGAUACCCGGGUAGUCC